This 465-nucleotide ribosomal RNA is filed under the name uncultured bacterium. RNAcentral's name for it is "bacterial SSU rRNA". It matches the Rfam family "Bacterial small subunit ribosomal RNA", at positions 338 to 795 of the family's 1533-position model. The record is from RNAcentral.
CCUACGGGCGGCACCAGUGGGGAAUAUUGCACAAUGGGCGCAAGCCUGAUGCAGCCAUGCCGCGUGUAUGAAGAAGGCCUUCUGGUUGUAAAGUACUUUCAGCGGUGAGGAAGGCGAUAAGGUUAAUAACCUUGUCGAUUGACGUUACCCGCAGAAGAAGCACCGGCUAACUCCGUGCCAGCAGCCGCGGUAAUACGGAGGGUGCAAGCGUUAAUCGGAAUUACUGGGCGAAAAGCGCACGCAGGCGGUCUGUCAAGUCGGAUGUGAAAUCCCCGGGCUCAACCUGGGAACUGCAUUCGAAACUGGCAGGCUGGAGUCUUGUAGAGGGGGGUAGAAUUCCAGGUGUAGCGGUGAAAUGCGUAGAGAUCUGGAGGAAUACCGGUGGCGAAGGCGGCCCCCUGGACAAAGACUGCCGCUCAGGUGCGAAAGCGUGGGGAGCAAACAGGAUUAGAUACCCGCGUAGUC